GCUGUGCGUCGGCGCUGAAUUUCCUUUUUGUGUGAAUACGAGCAGAACUUUUCGAAACAAAACCGUAGAUGCCCAGCAGAGAAACCUGAAAGAACACGAGUGCGUUAUAUGAACGCUGCUCUGUGAUGAAGAUGUCUCUUCUUAAAGAGGUACCAGUGGACGCCUUUCCACAGGAUUUUGCGUGGGGAGCUGCAACAGCUGCUUAUCAAAUCGAAGGGUGCUGGGACACGGAUGGUAAAGGCCCCAGCAUAUGGGACACGUUCUGCCAUGCUAAAGGCAGAGUAUUUGAGGAUCAAACAGGAGACGUGGCCUGCAACAGCUACCAGCUUUGGGAAGAAGACCUGAAGUGUAUCCUUCAGUUAGGCCUCACCCAUUACCGCCUGUCCUUAUCUUGGUCCCGACUGCUUCCUGAUGGAACCACAAAUUAUAUCAAUCCAAAAGGUGUUACAUAUUAUAACAAAGUGAUCAAUGACCUAAUUGCCAAUGCUGUUAUGCCCAUGGUCACCCUGAACCACUUUGACUUGCCCCAGGCCCUGGAGAAUCGUGGUGGAUGGAAAUCUCCAGAGAUUGCAGAUGUUUUUGAUUCAUAUGCUAGGUUUUGCUUUAAGACCUUUGGGGACAGAGUGAAGCUCUGGAUUACAGUGAAUGAGCCUUACGUGUGUGCUAAACAUGGGUACGAGGAUGGCCUUUUUGCUCCAGGGCUCAGAGAGCCAGGGACCUCUGUCUACCUAGUGGGCCACAACAUGCUGCGUGCCCACGCUAGAGCCUGGCAUAGUUACAAUGCUCAUUUCAGACAUCUCCAAGGAGGGAAAGUGUCCAUAGCUCUUAAUAGUGACUGGGCUGAGCCAUUAGACCCGAGCAGUCCCGAGGAUGUAGCAGCCACACAACGAUACAUGGACUUCAUUCUGGGCUGGUUUGCCUGCCCUGUGUUCUGCACAGGGGACUAUCCAGAGACCAUGAGGACCAGGAUUGAGGCCAGAAACCUGGAACUAGGGUUCUCUGAGGGCCCUCGGCUGCCAAAGUUUUCAGAAGAUGAGCCCAACCCUUUAGGCACAGCAGAUUUCUUUGCACUGAACUACUACACUUCACGCAAAGUGAAGGAUACGAGUUCUCAUCCCAGUGAGCUCAGUUUCAAAGGGGACCAGGGAGCAGAGGGUGUGAUGGAUCCAUCAUGGCCUAUUUGUGGGCUAUCCUGGCUCGCUGUAGUGCCAGAAAGACUGCGCAAGUUGUUAAAUUACAUAAAGGAGACCUACAACAACCCCGACAUCUACAUCACUGAAAAUGGCUUCUCACAGAUUGGACCAGUUGAACUUGAAGACGCUGAGCGCUGCCAGUUUUAUCAGGACACUCUUCAGGAAGUAUCUGAAGCUAUCAGAGACGAUGGUGUGAGUGUGAAGGGGUAUUUUGCCUGGACACUCAUGGAUAACUUUGAGUGGGCAGAAGGCUUCAGAGCGCGAUUUGGCCUCUUUCAUGUGGACUUCUCCACAGCUGAGCUGAAGCGCACCGUUUACCGCUCUGGUACAGAAUAUGCAGCUGUGAUAUCCAGACAUCGUACCCACAUCAAGCUGGAAAAGACCUAAACACAGAAGUCAGUGUUCUGGAGGCAUGUCUACACUGAUGAGAACAUUUUAAUAGUAGUGAAAAAGGAAGAAAAAACAAAAUCACACUUUUUAAAUAAUUCAUAGUUUAUGUGAGUAAUAAAAAUAAAAAAAAUUUCAUAUUUACUCAGUCUGGCUUCAAACCAGCGCACUCAACAGAAACUGCUCUUAUAGCAGUGGCCGAGAAGGUCCAGUCAGCAAGAUCAGCCUAUCUGUCAUCUGUCCUGAUUCUUCUUGACCUCUCGGCAGCUUUUGACACGGUCAACCACACAGUCCUUCUGGACGUCCUCACCAACCUUGGAAUCAUGGGCUCUGCGUGGAAGUGGUUCAAGUCCUAUCUGGAAGAUUGCUCAUACCAGGUUUCCAGUCGGAUCUCGGCAUGUCUGUCUGACAUCUCUUCAUGGAUGGCAGCUCACCACCUGAAGCUCAAUCCUAGGAAGACUGAGCUGCUAUUCAUCCCUGCAACUACAGGUCCCCAUCAUGAUCUUGCCAUCUCAUUCGAGAACUCUCUGAUUGUCCCAUCUGUAGAGGCAAGAAGUCUUGGUGUGGUUCUGGAUGGCCAGUUAUCGUUCUCGACUCACAUUGCAAACCUAACUCAGUCAUGCAGAUUUCUCCUGUACAACAUCCGGAGGAUCCGACCCUUUCUCACUCGAGAGGCCACCCAGGUACUAGUGCAGUCUCGUCAU
This is an RNA transcript of Colossoma macropomum (tambaqui), 2284 nucleotides long. It is a transcript of the gene named glucosidase, beta, acid 3, with no coding region annotated. The transcript is spliced from 6 exons. NCBI's taxonomy places the organism in Eukaryota, Metazoa, Chordata, Actinopteri, Characiformes, Serrasalmidae. The record is from RefSeq and is a predicted model, not a curated record.